RNAcentral lists this ribosomal RNA (436 nucleotides) under uncultured Gammaproteobacteria bacterium. Its description in RNAcentral is "SSU rRNA". It matches the Rfam family "Bacterial small subunit ribosomal RNA", at positions 242 to 669 of the family's 1533-position model. The record is from RNAcentral. Lineage: Bacteria; Pseudomonadati; Pseudomonadota; Gammaproteobacteria.
CAGCUAGUUGGCGGGGUAAUGGCCCACCAAGGCGACGAUCCGUAGCUGGUCUGAGAGGAUGAUCAGCCACACUGGAACUGAGACACGGUCCAGACUCCUACGGGAGGCAGCAGUGGGGAAUAUUGGACAAUGGGCGCAAGCCUGAUCCAGCCAUGCCGCGUGGGUGAAGAAGGCCUUCGGGUUGUAAAGCCCUUUUGUUCGGGAAGAAAUCGUACGGGUGAAUAUCCCGUGCGGAUGACGGUACCGGAAGAAUAAGCACCGGCUAACUUCGUGCCAGCAGCCGCGGUAAUACGAAGGGUGCAAGCGUUACUCGGAAUUACUGGGCGUAAAGCGUGCGUAGGCGGUUUGUUAAGUCCGCUGUGAAAAGCCCUGGGCUCAACCUGGGAAUUGCAGUGGAUACUGGCAAGCUAGAGUGCGGUAGAGGAUGGUGGAAUUC